Pangasius djambal is the source of this 72-nucleotide non-coding RNA. The record is from the annotation of a GenBank genome assembly. NCBI's taxonomy places the organism in Eukaryota, Metazoa, Chordata, Actinopteri, Siluriformes, Pangasiidae.
UCCCUAGAGGACUAGUGGUUAGGCCUUGGUGUGCUCACCGCCACGGCCUGUGUUUGAUUCCUGGCCAGGGAA